AUGCAUUCAUCUGAUAGACCUGAAGUUCUCCACUGUGACUUCUGGGUUUGCAAUUGGAUGCUAAAUGAAAUAUUCCCUUGACUUUCCCCGACUGCCUGACCGAGUGGCUGUACGGAUAGAGAAGAGGAAUACAUGA
This is a small nucleolar RNA of Oncorhynchus kisutch (coho salmon), 136 nucleotides long. NCBI's taxonomy places the organism in Eukaryota, Metazoa, Chordata, Actinopteri, Salmoniformes, Salmonidae. The record is from Ensembl.